UACGUAGGGUGCGAGCGUUGUCCGGAAUUAUUGGGCGUAAAGGGCUCGUAGGCGGUUUGUCACGUCGGGAGUGAAAACUCAGGGCUCAACCCUGAGCGUGCUUCCGAUACGGGCAGACUAGAGGUAUGCAGGGGAGAACGGAAUUCCUGGUGUAGCGGUGGAAUGCGCAGAUAUCAGGAGGAACACCGGUGGCGAAGGCGGUUCUCUGGGCAUUACCUGACGCUGAGGAGCGAAAGCAUGGGGAGCGAACAGG
Molecule: ribosomal RNA, 253 nt
Filed under: uncultured bacterium
Lineage: Bacteria
Description: partial 16S ribosomal RNA
Rfam family: Bacterial small subunit ribosomal RNA
Source: RNAcentral